This 107-nucleotide small nuclear RNA is filed under the name Catagonus wagneri (Chacoan peccary). The record is from RNAcentral. Lineage: Eukaryota; Metazoa; Chordata; Mammalia; Artiodactyla; Tayassuidae.
GUGCUCACAUCAGCAGCACAUACACUAGAAUUGGAAUAAUACAGAGUAGAUUAGCAUGGCCCCUGCCCAAAGAUGACAUGUAAAUUCGUGAAGACUUCCAUAUUUUU